GGGGGUGUAGCUCACUGGAAGAGCAUCUGCUCUGCAUGCAGAAUGUCUCAGGUGCCAUCCCUGAAGUCUCUG
Podarcis lilfordi (Lilford's wall lizard) is the source of this 72-nucleotide non-coding RNA. Lineage: Eukaryota; Metazoa; Chordata; Lepidosauria; Squamata; Lacertidae. The record is from the annotation of a GenBank genome assembly.